AGAGUUUGAUCCUGGCUCAGAUUGAACGCUGGCGGCAGGCCUAACACAUGCAAGUCGAGCGGAUGACGGGAGCUUGCUCCUUGAUUCAGCGGCGGACGGGUGAGUAAUGCCUAGGAAUCUGCCUGGUAGUGGGGGACAACGUUUCGAAAGGAACGCUAAUACCGCAUACGUCCUACGGGAGAAAGCAGGGGACCUUCGGGCCUUGCGCUAUCAGAUGAGCCUAGGUCGGAUUAGCUUGUUGGUGAGGUAAUGGCUCACCAAGGCGACGAUCCGUAACUGGUCUGAGAGGAUGAUCAGUCACACUGGAACUGAGACACGGUCCAGACUCCUACGGGAGGCAGC
Molecule: ribosomal RNA, 342 nt
Filed under: uncultured bacterium
Lineage: Bacteria
Description: bacterial SSU rRNA
Rfam family: Bacterial small subunit ribosomal RNA
Source: RNAcentral